GAUUCCUGUUCAGCGUGAAUCUGUGGGAGAGUAUGAACAGUCAAAUGCGAAUAGGCACAACAAGGAUUCUGCGUAAAAGAGUCUUGUGAUGCUGGUGAACCUGCAAUGCACCCCUUCUCAGAGGAGACUAGGAUUCUUUGUGAGAAGAAACAGACAUCUUGCAGUUUUGCAUCAGAUGUCACGGUGGCUGAAAGAACUCAUCCAUCAGAAGACGCUUGAUAUUCUUUCUUUGAGGGCUGAAGACCAACAAUCUAAAAUAAAAAUCUACAGGCGUGCAUAGAGGUGGGGACUGCAUCAAGGAGAGCACGGUGAGUGUCAGCUGUACCCAAAGGUCUGUGCUGCAACAUAAACAUUUCCAGCCUGCUUCUAGUACAUGUGUAUACAAAUGUAAGUGCUGUAGGCUUAAUUCUGCAAGAUUUUUCAUAGAAUAUUGAA
This is a long non-coding RNA of Cuculus canorus (common cuckoo), 435 nucleotides long. RefSeq lists it as uncharacterized. NCBI's taxonomy places the organism in Eukaryota, Metazoa, Chordata, Aves, Cuculiformes, Cuculidae. The transcript is spliced from 4 exons. The record is from RefSeq and is a predicted model, not a curated record.